CCAGAAAGGGAAAGGAGAGGAGUAAAGAGGAAAAGAGAACAGUGGUGGGUGCCUAUAAAGAGCCACACACCUUGCUGCAUGCUCUAUAUGUGGGCUAUUGUUUGUUCUCACAAUGAAUCUGAGUAGUAGAUAUAGCAUGCCCAUUUUCCACAGUUUUGGAGGAAUGGGAGAGGAGCUUUCCACUCCUCUGAGAGUCAUGUCGAGAGUCUGUCUUAGCCCUCGACCCCUCAGUCUUUGUAGAUCUCAUCCCAGAACCCCGAGGGAGAGGAACACAGUGCCUGGUGAAACAGAGCCAGCCAGUGCUGAGCACUCAGGACCGGUUCUGGUUUCCUGGUGUGGCCUGGGCCUCCAUCUGGUUUGGAGGCUAUUUUGAUCCACCGGAUGCAGAUUAGCUGCUGCGAUCUGGGGCUGAGCUGCUGGAGAGAUGCCUUUAUCUACAGAAGGACAAUUUGAAAACUAACUCAAAGCAUCGAGAACAAAUAAAUAAAUUCCUCUUUCCGUUCCCAGCACUCUCCAUCCUAUUUCUACAGGUAAUUGCUGAAGGAUUUUUGCUUCAAACAGGCUCUUGUUUGCAUCAAGUGUGGGGUGCAGCAAAGUGGACUCGGGACUGGCCGAUGUCUGGCCAGAAAUGCCAGGCAAGGGAAACAGUGACUCUAGUGGGGUCAGGAGAGGGGCAUCUGCUGGCCCAGGAGCGCAAGGCAGAGGCAUUUGCUUUGAUGUAAGCCUUCUUGGGCAGGAACCAUCUUCCCCUUCUCUAAUCAUCGAGGAAAGGGGCCUUCAGACCUGCGCUGGCCUGGGCCCAGAUGAGGCAUGCUAAUUUCAUUGUCAGUGUCUUGAUGUUUCAGGAGCUCAUGGCACUUGAAAAUAUGGGCUUUGCAUCAUGCAGACUUCAUUGUCCCCCUUAUAGGUGAGGCGACUCUGAGGCAGGAGGUCCAAGUUUGCUGGACAAUGGCAGAAACAGAAUUCAAACACCUGUCUUCUAGGAGAAGUUCUGGUCUCUCCUCGGUGCUGCGGCUGCCCCGGGAAGAGUUUCCAGGAGCUGACAAGCAUUCAGAUGAGUAAAGAUGGGAUCGGAUUGAGAAAAGGAGAAGGGAGAGCAUAUUCGUUCUCUUUCCACCUCCCUCCCACAGCCUUUCAUGCUGAUCUCAUCUGACGAAGCUGCCUCCUCCUCCCUGGACUCUACAAGCCCCUGUCAUGAUGUUUCUCAGAUCCUGAAUUCCAGCGAAACAGAUGAUACUAACAAGUUUGAAGACCCCCACAGAGGAAUGGAAUCAGUAUGAGAACACAGUUUCUUCAUCUCCCUGUCCCAGAACUUCACCCUGGACUCCUCGACCAAUCAACAAUCUCCACACUUCGGCCCACUCCAAAACUCCUAAAAUCCCAAGCUCCAAACUCCUCUGGGAGAUGGAUUUGAGGCUUCCUCCCGUUUCCUUGUGUGGAAGCCCUGUCAUUAAACCUCUUUCUCUGCUG
RNAcentral lists this long non-coding RNA (1470 nucleotides) under Homo sapiens (human). RNAcentral describes it as "long non-coding RNA NONHSAT160823.1". Lineage: Eukaryota; Metazoa; Chordata; Mammalia; Primates; Hominidae. The record is from RNAcentral.